This 1416-nucleotide long non-coding RNA is filed under the name Marmota monax (woodchuck). Lineage: Eukaryota; Metazoa; Chordata; Mammalia; Rodentia; Sciuridae. The record is from RNAcentral.
CUUGAGUCACAAGAAUUUCAGACAUAUAAUUUUAGAAGCAGUCAAGUGAUAAUGGCAACAUUGUCAUUUAUAAGAAGACUAAGAAUAUACAUCAUCCGCUAGACUCUCUACAAACAUUGAUUACUUUGUGCCUACUUCAUACUAACAUUGCAAAUACUUAUUUAUAUUUAUUUUGUCACUGUAGGAGGCAGAAUUUCUAAAAUGGCACACUAAAGAUGUCCUCCCAAACUCCAGGCCCUUUGACUAUGAUGGUCCAUGGAGUCUAUUAUGUUGCAUAUCAUGCUUGAUUUUAAGAUAGAAGAUUGUCUGGGCAGGCAUAGAUAGAUAAUCUGAUCUAAUCACCGGCCCCUUCAAUGUAGAGUGUUUUCUCUGGGUGUAAAGUACUUUGUGGUAUUGACUAUUGAGAUUAUUGAGAGUUGGGGCUGCUUACUACAACAGUGGGUUAUCACUGCAUUGACAAAUGCAGUAGUUCAUGACAAGGAAAGGGUGAGAGCAAAACCUGGAAAAAGUGAUACAAUUACCUGGAAAAGUGAUACAAAUACCCUGUGGUCACUGAUGCAGUUGCCCAAGGCCUUGAACUGAUCCAAGUUGUCUUUCCCCACUCCUCACCUGGAGCAGAGGCCUGCAAAGGUGACCAUUCCCACUGUCUUCUUACGUGGUUAGGGUGUUGAUGCUCUGGCAAGCUGAGACUUCUUCCAUUCCCAGUCUACCUGAACCAUUCCAUGCCAAAAAUGUCUAGAUAGUAACUUGCCUAUAACCUGGGUUAAUACAAUUUUUUUUUUCAAUUUAUUGAGUUCUAUCCAUGGCAAUUUCAAAGCAAAAGAGUUAAAAUCUUGGGUUAAAAUUGCUAUCUUGAAAUGGAAUUCUUAUUGUAAGUUGAAGACUCUUCUAACUUAGUUAUACAAAGCUAUAUAAUUUUUUUAAUACUGGGAAUUGAACCCAGGGAUGCUUUACCACUGAGCUAUAUCCCCAGCCCUUUUUAUUUAUUUAUUCUGAGUCAGGGUUUUGCUAAGUUUUUGAGGGUCUACGUUGCUGAAGCUGGCCUUGAACUUGCAAUCCUUCUACUUAAGCCUCCAAAAUUGCUGGGAUUACAGGCAUGUACCAUUGUGCCCAGCUAGAUAUACAAAAUUAUACCAAAUGAAUGUUUGGAAUAUUUGAAGUAAGUGAUAAGAAUAAUUUAUUCAGAUGGAUUAAUAAAUGAAAAUAUUACCACGGGGUCAUAAUUAAAUAAUUUUAGUGAUACUAGGUUUAAUUAUUCUUAUAAGAGAUGUGAAUUUCUCAACACUGGGCCAGUCUAUAAAAACCAUUCCUUUAGAACAAAUCUAAUAAAUUAACAAUGAAAGUGGUAAAAAAUCAAUAAGAUUUGUAGUUCAUGACAGAAUAUUUUCAAGAGAACCCAGGUCUCAGUAAUGCUUA